GACGAACGCUGGCGGCGUGCUUAACACAUGCAAGUCGAACGGAAAGGCCUGCUUUCCCUUGUGGAUUGCGGGUACUCGAGUGGCGAACGGGUGAGUAACACGUGAGUGAUCUGCCCCCAACUUGGGUAUAAGCCUGGGAAACUGGGUCUAAUUCCCGAUAGGACUGCAGGGUGGUGCCUGUGGUGGAAAACGAUUUUCUAGUGGUUGGGGAUGAGCUCGCGGCCUAUCAGCUUGUUGGCGGGGUAAUGGCCUACCAAGGCGGCGACGGGUAGCCGGCCUGAGAGGGUGGACGGCCACAUUGGGACUGAGAUACGGCCCAGACUCCUACGGGAGGCGGCAGUGGGGAAUAUUGCACAAUGGGCGGAAGCCUGAUGCAGCGACGCCGCGUGGGGGAUGACGGCCUUCGGGUGGUAAACUCCUUUCGACCGCGAGGAAGCCACCUGGUUGGAAGGGUGGUGACGGUAGUGGUAGAAGAAGCACCGGCUAACUACGUG
Molecule: ribosomal RNA, 494 nt
Filed under: uncultured bacterium
Lineage: Bacteria
Description: partial 16S ribosomal RNA
Rfam family: Bacterial small subunit ribosomal RNA
Source: RNAcentral